CCUACGGGAGGCAGCAGUGGGGAAUAUUGCGCAAUGGGCGCAAGCCUGACGCAGCGACGCCGCGUGUGGGAUGAAGGUCUUCGGAUCGUAAACCUCUGUCAGCAGGGAAGAACGGUCACUGUGCUAAUCAGCAGUGAAUUGACGGUACCUGCAAAGGAAGCACCGGCUAACUCCGUGCCAGCAGCCGCGGUAAUACGGAGGGUGCGAGCGUUAAUCGGAAUUACUGGGCGUAAAGCGCUCGUAGGCGGUAUGUCAAGUCAAGUGUGAAAUCCCCGCGCUCAACGUGGGAACUGCCUUUGAAACUGGCAAACUGGAGUGUGUGAGAGGAUAGUGGAAUUCCAGGUGUAGGAGUGAAAUGCGUAGAGAUGUGGAGGAACAUCAGUGGCGAAGGCGACUAUCUGGCACAUAACUGACGCUGAGGAGCGAAAGCGUGGGUAGCAAACAGGAUUAGAUACCCCUGUAGUC
This 465-nucleotide ribosomal RNA is filed under the name uncultured bacterium. RNAcentral describes it as "partial 16S ribosomal RNA". It matches the Rfam family "Bacterial small subunit ribosomal RNA", at positions 338 to 795 of the family's 1533-position model. The record is from RNAcentral.